AGGGCUAAAAGUUCUUCAGUUGGUUCGUCUUCUUACCCAUCUCUCGUGUCUUCCACUAGAGUUCUCCACUUCCUAAUAGAACGAAGUUCAAACUUUGUGAUGGCGACUGAAUCCAAAACUGCGACUGAGGAAGUUAAGAUUGACCUCUUUGAAGAUGAUGACGAGUUUGAAGAGUUUGAGAUUAAUGAAGAGUGGGAAGUCAAAGAAGAAGGGAAAGAAAUUACACAGCAGUGGGAAGACGA
Molecule: unclassified non-coding RNA, 242 nt
Filed under: Hevea brasiliensis (rubber tree)
Lineage: Eukaryota; Viridiplantae; Streptophyta; Magnoliopsida; Malpighiales; Euphorbiaceae
Source: RNAcentral